Molecule: long non-coding RNA, 344 nt
Filed under: Marmota monax (woodchuck)
Lineage: Eukaryota; Metazoa; Chordata; Mammalia; Rodentia; Sciuridae
Source: RNAcentral
CUGUCUCUUGAGUGAUUAUUUCACACAGCCCAGUUCACCUGGAGUGACCCUGAGUGUUUUAGUUAUGAGAAAAGUGACAAUUUGUGGCCCAUACAGAACUCUAGGAUGAAUUUUAGAAAUUUAAUGGGUUUGGAAUUUCUCUCCAGAAGUUAAGCAUGCUUAGGAUUUCAGAGUAUUGUGGGCUGAAUUGUAGAAAGUAAGUGAAGUAGAAGAAAAAUCUGUGACAUUCAACUUUUUAAUAUUUGGGAGUAGUUUGUCUUUAGAAAGGAAAAAAAUAUUUUUAAAAUUCUAGAGACUCUAAAUGUAAAGAAUUAUUAAGAUGAUUAAUGGGAUAUGUUGUUAAG